Molecule: ribosomal RNA, 254 nt
Filed under: uncultured bacterium
Lineage: Bacteria
Description: partial 16S ribosomal RNA
Rfam family: Bacterial small subunit ribosomal RNA
Source: RNAcentral
CACGUAGGCACCAAGCGUUAUCCGGAUUUAUUGGGCGUAAAGAGCUCGUAGGCGGUUCGGUAAGUCGGGUGUGAAAACUCUGGGCUCAACCCAGAGAGGCCACCCGAUACUGCUGUGACUAGAGUGCGGUAGGGGAGCGGGGAAUUCCUGGUGUAGCGGUGAAAUGCGCAGAUAUCAGGAAGAACACCCGUGGCGAAGGCGGCUCUCUGGAACGCAACUGACGCUGAGACGCGAAAGCGUGGGGAGCAAACAGG